CGGUGUGAUCAUACCAGCACUAAUUCACCGGAUCCCAUAAGAACUCCGCAGAUAAGCGUGCUCGGGCGAGAGUAGUACUUGGAUGGGUGACAUCUUGGGAAGUCCUCGUGUUGCACCUC
This is a non-coding RNA of Lupinus angustifolius (narrow-leaved blue lupine), 119 nucleotides long. Lineage: Eukaryota; Viridiplantae; Streptophyta; Magnoliopsida; Fabales; Fabaceae. The record is from Rfam.